AGUGAACGCUGGCGGUAGGCCUAACGCAUGCAAGUCUAACGGCAGCACAGGAGAGCUUGCUCUCUGGGUGGCGAGUGGCGGACGGGUGAGGAAUACAUCGGAAUCUACUCUGUCGUGGGGGAUAACGUAGGGAAACUUACGCUAAUACCGCAUACGACCUACGGGUGAAAGCAGGGGACCUUCGGGCCUUGCGCGAUUGAAUGAGCCGAUGUCGGAUUAGCUAGUUGGCGGGGUAAAGGCCCACCAAGGCGACGAUCCGUAGCUGGUCUGAGAGGAUGAUCAGCCACACUGGAACUAAGACACGGUCCAGACUCCUACGGGAGUCAGCAGUGGGGAAUAUUGGACAAUGGGCGCAAGCCUGAUCCAGCCAUACCGCGUGGGUGAAGAAGGCCUUCGGGUUGUAAAGCCCUUUUGUUGGGAAAGAAAUCCAGCUGGCUAAUACCCGGUUGGGAUGACGGUACCCAAAGAAUAAGCACCGGCUAACUUCGUGCCAGCCGCCGCAGUAA
This 506-nucleotide ribosomal RNA is filed under the name uncultured bacterium. Its description in RNAcentral is "partial 16S ribosomal RNA". It matches the Rfam family "Bacterial small subunit ribosomal RNA", at positions 29 to 523 of the family's 1533-position model. The record is from RNAcentral.